Molecule: ribosomal RNA, 254 nt
Filed under: uncultured bacterium
Lineage: Bacteria
Description: partial 16S ribosomal RNA
Rfam family: Bacterial small subunit ribosomal RNA
Source: RNAcentral
UACGUAGGGGGCGAGCGUUGUCCGGAUUUAUUGGGCGUAAAACGCUUGUAGGUGGCUACGUCAAGUCGGACGUGAAAUCUCCCGGCUUAACUGGGAGGGGUCGCUCGAUACUGGCGAGCUCGAGGCAGGUAGGGGGAAGCGGAAUUCCCGGUGUAGUGGUGGAAUGCGUAGAUAUCGGGAGGAACACCAGUGGCGAAGGCGGCUUCCUGGACCUGUUCUGACACUGAGACGCGAAAGCGCGGGGAGCGAACGGG